UAUUAUUUUUAAACCAAACAAAAUCAGAAUAUUUCUUUGAAGUCAGCAGAUAUAAAGGCUUUAGUGUUUCGGAAAAUUUUGGGACGAACUGCCGAAAAUAGGAUGCUAAGCCUAUAAAUUGCCUUAAUUGUGACACAGUUUGUGGAAUCGAUCUAACGCUUCGUCUUUGGAUUGGGCUAUAAUUAACACAUCAUCAAAGUAAACGAUUGCAUAUGUGUAUGCUAAAGUACCUAAUACUUUCAUUAUGGCCCGUUGAAAUAUAGAAGGGGCGUUUUUCAGACCAAAGGGCAUGGUCAAAAACUCAUACUGUCCUUCUGGGAUAACGAAAGCAGUACGCUCAAUUGAGUUUGGAUGUACCGGAAAUUGGUAGAUGCCACUUGCCAUAUCUACGCACAAAAAAUAUUUUGCUCCACGUAGCCUAGCUAUCUGGUCUGAAAUUAGAGUCAGCGCUCUACGAUCAGACCUUACUCAGCAGCAGAGUCUCUCUCUUUCAUCCUGCUACCAUGCCCUACACGCAUUCGUAAAAACUCCGUUACUUAGGUUGCGUCUAUGUCUCGCCACCCAAAAAUGCACACACAUGUACAGUGGUCUGCAACUAGCAAAAAGUGACUCUACGACAUAUAUAUGUGAAAUGGUAUAGAGGCAUAUGCAUCUAGGAGUGACACCGAUUGGCAGGACUGACAGCAACGAAGAGAAGAGCAAGAGCAGCAAAUAGAGGCAGUCGUCAAGUAGCGUCGUCGUGAGUCGCACGUACAUACUAUAUAGUUGAAUUGAUCCAUAGUCAUACCGUCGUGUUGUAAUAUUCGAUAAAGUUGUUGUUAAACGAGCUGCCUUUAAUAGUUGUCAAACAUUUGUUGCUUAUACAUACCAAUUACCAUAACUUGUUAGCAUAUAAUAUUAAUAAACUGAUUGGAAUACAUAUCCUAUCUUACAUUUGGGGGCUCGUCCAUGCUAGCAGACGAUUGGUAUUUGUGCGUGUUAAAAAGACAAAAGGUGCUUAAAAGUGGUGUCAAAAUAAGUUGCAUAAGUGACGUUGCUUAAGAGUAGAGUACAGUAGAGUCAAAAGCACUGGCCUUGAAAAGUUAAUGGGUAGAGCAAGCGCUGCAGUACAAGCAGUCACAAAACCCGUUAGGAAUUCGAAAGACGCACGAAUUGCUGGCGCCAAGGUACAGACGAGUAGCACGGUGGUUAGAGUGGGACCAUCAUACAACACACGAGCAACAAAGAGCAGUACAGAUAUAAAACUAGCGAAACGGGAGCUAAUGCAAGCACCAAGAACAUCAGUCUAGAUGUGCGAAGAUAAGAAGAAGAGAAGCCCGACAAUGCAGAAAAAAUUAUGCAAAACAAUCAAAUGUUGCAACAAGUAAUUCAAUUACUAUCGCUAAAAAUACAAGCUGAUGAAAUUAAACAAAAUGAGCCGAAAAUUAGUGCGGAUAACUUUACAACAAUAAUACUAGACUUUGACGGUAGUAGCAUUCCCGUAAAGCAUUGAUUUAACAAUUUCGAAAUAAAUGCACAGGCUUAUGGUUUAAGUGAUGCACAAAAAUAUGUUUUAGCGCGUUCAAAAAUAACACAAACGGCCAAACUUGUACUGGAGUCUGCAGUAAUUUAUAAUUAUAAGGAGUUGCGCGCCAUAUUGGAAGAGGAGUUUGAUCGAGAAUCAGUGUGGAGCGCCGAUAUUCAUGCUGAGUUGCAUGGACGUAAAAAACAAAAAGAAGAGACAUUCAAGGAAUAUAUUUUGCAAGUGAAAAAAAUUGCUUAGCUCAGGAAAGUGGACACUACAUCAGUGAUUCGAUAUGUAAUUGAUGGGCUUAAUUUGAAAAGCGAUUUUAAAUACAACCUGUAUAACUGUAAAACAUACAAAGAGUUGGAAAGCCAGUAUGAAAUAUAUGAACGAGUAGCAGAUGUAGAAAAGUCGUAUGAAGUCGAAAAAAAAAACAAGUGUAAAUGCAGAAAACAUUCGAAAAAAGAGAGGUUGCUUUAAUUGUGGGUCGCCCGAUCAUAUGCGCAAAGAUUGCACAAAUCAGAUGAAAUGUUUUCGUUGCAAGCAGAGCGGACACAUUUCGACAAAUUGUCCUAUGGUAAACGCCGCAAUAAACGUUGUUAACAGCAGUAAGCGCAUGAAAAAAGUUAAAUUUAACGAACUGGAAGUGGAGUGUUUGGUCGACACUGGAGCAGAUCUUACCAUCAUGAAGAAAAACAUCUUUAGCAAAAUCAGCGGUGCAGAGUUGAAGAAUUUUGGCAGACAGUUACGUGGCUUGGGCAACAAGGUGACUCACCCACUGGGCUAUUUCUUCGCGGACGUGGAGGUAGAUGGCUUGCGUACCUCACUUCAAAUUGUUGUCGUGUCAGACAGAGACGUAAAAAAACAAAAACUGAAGAAGUUAUUGAGUUAAGUAUUUUUCAAGUUGUACAAACACAUACUGAUAUAGAUGUACCCCCACAGCACAAAUGUGAAGUUCAGGCGCUGAUUAACGAUUAUAAGCCGGCUAAGGACGUUCUGGAGUGCCCAGUUCAACUUAAAAUUGUACCAGAUGGCGAAAUUGUUCCUUUUCGGCAGAUAAACCAAUGGCUACGUGAAGGUAUAAUUCGAGAGUCUUCAUCAAACUUCGCAAGUCGCCUGGUGUUGGUGAACAAAAAGGAUGGCACACGUCGUAUUUGCGUCGAUUUUCGUAAAUUGAACUCCAUGGUCCUGAAGGAUUAUGUAAAUUUUAUAAACGAAACGAAAUAAAUGCAGCUAUCAAUUUACGUUAAA
Long non-coding RNA from Scaptodrosophila lebanonensis, 2755 nucleotides. RefSeq lists it as uncharacterized. NCBI's taxonomy places the organism in Eukaryota, Metazoa, Arthropoda, Insecta, Diptera, Drosophilidae. The transcript has 2 exons. The record is from RefSeq and is a predicted model, not a curated record.